Molecule: unclassified non-coding RNA, 383 nt
Filed under: uncultured bacterium
Lineage: Bacteria
Description: contains 16S-23S intergenic spacer region
Source: RNAcentral
UCCGGCUUGACGCCGGCAGUCCCCCGAGAGUCCUCAGCAUGACCUGUUAGUAACACGGGGCAAGGGUUGCGCUCGUUGCGGGACUUAACCCAACAUCUCACGACACGAGCUCACGACAGCCAUGCAGCACCUGUCUCCGGUCCAGCCGAACUGAAAGGCUCCAACUCUGGUGCCCGCGACCGGGAUGUCAAAGGUUGGUAAGGUUCUGCGCGUUGCUUCGAAUUGAACCACAUGCUCCACCGCUUGUGCGGGCCCCCGUCAAUUCCUUUGAGUUUCAACCUUGCGGUCGUACUCCCCAGGCGGGGUACUUCCUGCGUUAGCGCCGGCACCCAGAGGGUCGCUCCCCCAGGCACCUAGUACCCAUCGUUUACGGCGUGGACUAC